CCAAAUAUAUGCCAAUGUCAACACAUGUUCAUGUUGAUGAGGUUUACUGAACAAAUUUGAAUCAUCACAACAACCAAAAUGUUAGCAACACAUUAUAAAGUUUAUUAUUAUCACUAUGGUAACCAUGUUUAUGUUUGUUACCUGCUAACUCAAACACAUUCUGUAGGUGUCACAUUUUGAGGACUAUAAUAAAGGAGGAUACUGUGGGUGUUGGAGAGGACCCACUGAAAAAUGUGAGUGCACGAAAGGAUCUCACAGAUGAACAUGUGGCCCCUGACACUCCAGCCACCUCUUCUGCACCAGUCUCACCUCCAGCUGAGGCUCAGACGAACAAAUCAAAGAAGGCUUCCUGGUGGCGCAGAUGGCUUUUUUGUGAGAAAAAGUCAAAGGUUUUUCCCAAAAAUGAAGACAAGGCAGAAGACACAGUCGUGCCACCUUCUGAACCCCAACAGAGUACCAUCAGCACUGAAAAAUGUGAAGUCAAGGACGUUGGUGUCCAGACAGAGGUUUCCUGCCCUCCCAACUCGCUGCUGUUUUUCUGCACGAAAAAGGUGACCUUAGAUGAUGAGCCGCGUUGUCCUGAAGUCAAUGAGAGAGAUGAGCCAGUUUCCAGGUCGUGUACCCCAGCAGGUCACGGUGGUAGCCAGGGGGCCAUGCUAAGAGACCACGUCACACACUGCUGACUAACAUACGAUGAUGAGUUCGUCAAUGAUGAGCAGCGGCAGAGAACAGCUUACCUGCUGUUCUAUGAAAAACAGGUGAUUUCUCCCAUCAAACAGUUGGAUUGUAAAUGGUAAAUGGUAAAUGGCCUGUAUUUGUAUAGUGCUUUACUAGUCCCUAAGGACCCCAAAGCGCUUUACAUCCAUCCAUUCACACACACAUUCACACACUGGUGAUGGCAAGCUACAUUGUAGCCUCAGCCACCCUGGGGCGCACUGACAGAGGCGAGGCUGCCGAACACUGGCGCCACCGGGCCCUCUGACCCUGGAUUGUGUUGGAUACUGUUGUUUAUAUAAGAUUUUAUUGUAAUGUAUAGUAUAUAAGACUUUUAUUUUAUUUGUAUCUUUUUAUGUUUAUGUUGUUUAGUGUACACCGAGGGCCGUGGGAGCGUUGCAAUUACAAAUUCUUGUGUAUGACCUGUCCAUAUGUUUUUUUGACAAAAAGAUGACUUUGAAUUUGAGCAUGUCCGUGCAAAUACUCAGUUUAUGUUCAAACAUGAUUUUGUUCUUUUAAUUUGCUCAAUGACAAAGUUAGGAUUUAGUUUAAGGAAUGGCUGAUUGCAGAUUCCUGUUAGAAAACAAGUGUGUUGCAUUUAUGCAGUGGUUACUAUGGUGGCACUUUAGGUGCAAGUGUUGCAACCACUGUAAAUGUGACACCAUCACCAAAAAAUGUUAUAAAAUCAGAAGAAGAAAGAGAACUCUAAUAUGAUAGCUACACACCAGCUGGACCAUUAUAACAACAUCGCAUCACAUGAGUAACUUCACCAUGACGAGACUUCAAGGACUCCAAGAAUGUUCAUACAGUGAGGAUAAAUCAUGUUUUUUAUUAUUUAUUAUGAAAAAGACACAAUAUAGAUACAUAAAAUGCAGCAGGAGCUGCAACAGCUAACAUGUCAGUUAAUUUGACACGUUGAUUUAUUUAUAAUUUCUUUUUCUCUCUUAGCUUUUCAGCUCCACAUUUUUGCCAUUUCUUCCACACUCAACUCUUUUCUACAAGGUGAGCGCACAGUGAAGGAAGGGGAGGGCUGAUGGCAUUAAGAGAUUUGAUUGGGCAAUCUAGGGGCCAGUUAGUUCUUCCCUUUGGUGAAAGCUGGGCUCUUCAGUUCAGCAUGGUACAGCUCCAAAGAUUCUGCAACAUCAAACCCUCUGUCUGCUAAUAUUACAUCACCUGGGCUGAGGCAGUCCAGGUAACAGUUUCUAUUUUUGUUUUUAAACUUUAGAUAUAAACAAAACAAGAAAAAUAA
Oreochromis niloticus (Nile tilapia) is the source of this 1963-nucleotide long non-coding RNA. RefSeq lists it as uncharacterized. The record is from RefSeq and is a predicted model, not a curated record. Lineage: Eukaryota; Metazoa; Chordata; Actinopteri; Cichliformes; Cichlidae. The transcript has 6 exons.